Molecule: small RNA, 997 nt
Filed under: Pan troglodytes (chimpanzee)
Lineage: Eukaryota; Metazoa; Chordata; Mammalia; Primates; Hominidae
Description: retained intron
Source: RNAcentral
UAGGAUUACAGGCGUGAGCCACCACGCCUGGCCUGGUGUCUUUUUUUUUUUUUUUUUUUAAGACCAUAAGACAUUAUUUUGUCUGGGUUAUCACUGAGGCAUAGACUUUGAGGGCUGGAAAGCAUCUUGGGGAUUGGGAUGUAGCCUUCCUCCCAGCUGGUCAGCUACCCCACAACCCCCCAUUUGCAUACCUCACUGACUACUAGGAGCUUACUUCUCUCUGAAGGAGGCUGUUCCUUUUUUGGGCCUUCCUAUCCCCCUGUGGAGCAGGCCUGAUUGUCCUCCUGGCCUUCUCUUCCUCUUCCCUGCCUACCCACUCUCCUUUCUAGGCCUGCCUUCAACCACAGGCUCCCCACCCCCUGCAGUUUCUUCCCUUUUGGUGACUCUCCACUGACUGCCCAGGCACAGUGGCUACUGGGGUGUGCUGGGAGCAGGUGGCGUUGACAGGCCUGGCUCUGGGCUGCUCUCUCUAGGUUACCCUGACCACAUGGUGUUUUCCGAGUUCCGCCGCCGCUUUGAUGUCCUGGCCCCGCACCUGACCAAGAAACACGGGCGUAACUACAUCGUGGUGGAUGAAAGGCGGGCAGUGGAGGAGCUGCUGGAGUGCUUGGAUCUGGAGAAGAGCAGCUGCUGCAUGGGCCUGAGCCGGGUGUUCUUCCGGGCGGGCACCUUGGCACGGCUGGAGGAGCAGCGGGAUGAACAAACCAGCAGGAACCUAACCCUGUUCCAAGCAGCCUGCAGGGGCUACCUGGCCCGCCAGCACUUCAAGAAGAGAAAGAUCCAGGACCUGGCCAUUCGCUGUGUACAGAAGAACAUCAAGAAGAACAAAGGGGUGAAGGACUGGCCUUGGUGGAAGCUUUUUACCACAGUGAGGCCCCUCAUCGAAGUACAGCUGUCAGAGGAGCAGAUCCGGAACAAAGACGAGGAGAUCCAGCAGCUGCGGAGCAAGCUCGAGAAGGUGGAGAAGGAGAGGAACGAGCUGCGGCUCAACAGUGAC